RNAcentral lists this ribosomal RNA (468 nucleotides) under uncultured bacterium. RNAcentral describes it as "partial 16S ribosomal RNA". It matches the Rfam family "Bacterial small subunit ribosomal RNA", at positions 28 to 507 of the family's 1533-position model. The record is from RNAcentral.
GACGAACGCUGGCGGCGUGCUUAACACAUGUAAGUCGAACGGAAAGGCCCUGCUUUUGUGGGGUGCUCGAGUGGCGAACGGGUGAGUAGCACGUGAGUAACCUGCCCUUGACUUUGGGAUAACUUCAGGAAACUGGGGCUAAUACCGGAUAGGAGCUCCUGCUGCAUGGUGGGGGUUGGAAAGUUUCGGCGGUUGGGGAUGGACUCGCGGCUUAUCAGCUUGUUGGUGGGGUAGUGGCUUACCAAGGCUUUGACGGGUAGCCGGCCUGAGAGGGUGACCGGCCACAUUGGGACUGAGAUACGGCCCAGACUCCUACGGGAGGCAGCAGUGGGGAAUAUUGCACAAUGGGCGGAAGCCUGAUGCAGCAACGCCGCGUGCGGGAUGACGGCCUUCGGGUUGUAAACCGCUUUCGCCUGUGACGAAGCGUGAGUGACGGUAAUGGGUAAAGAAGCACCGGCUAACUACGUG